This 226-nucleotide ribosomal RNA is filed under the name uncultured bacterium. RNAcentral describes it as "partial 16S ribosomal RNA". It matches the Rfam family "Bacterial small subunit ribosomal RNA", at positions 109 to 334 of the family's 1533-position model. The record is from RNAcentral.
AGUACGCGUGAGGAACCUGCCUCAAAGAGGGGGACAACAGUUGGAAACGACUGCUAAUACCGCAUAAGCCCACGGCUCGGCAUCGAGCAGAGGGAAAAGGAGCAAUCCGCUUUGAGAUGGCCUCGCGUCCGAUUAGCUAGUUGGUGAGGUAAUGGCCCACCAAGGCGACGAUCGGUAGCCGGACUGAGAGGUUGAACGGCCACAUUGGGACUGAGACACGGCCCAG